CUGUACAGUUCAGAGUUUGAUCCUGGCUCAGGACGAACGCUGGCGGCGUGCCUAACACAUGCAAGUCGAACGGGGUAAAGAGCUUCGGUUUUUUACUUAGUGGCGAACGGGUGAGUAACGCGUGAGAAACCUGCCUUUCAGUGGGGGACAACAGUUGGAAACGACUGCUAAUACCGCAUAACGUAUCGAGGGGGCAUCCUCUUGAUACCAAAGCUUUAUGUGCUGAAAGAUGGUCUCGCGUCUGAUUAGCUAGAUGGCGGGGUAACGGCCCACCAUGGCGACGAUCAGUAGCCGGUCUGAGAGGAUGAACGGCCACAUUGGGACUGAGAUACGGCCCAG
RNAcentral lists this ribosomal RNA (339 nucleotides) under uncultured bacterium. Its description in RNAcentral is "bacterial SSU rRNA". It matches the Rfam family "Bacterial small subunit ribosomal RNA", at positions 1 to 334 of the family's 1533-position model. The record is from RNAcentral.